This 494-nucleotide ribosomal RNA is filed under the name uncultured bacterium. RNAcentral's name for it is "partial 16S ribosomal RNA". It matches the Rfam family "Bacterial small subunit ribosomal RNA", at positions 28 to 507 of the family's 1533-position model. The record is from RNAcentral.
GACGAACGCUGGCGGCGUGCUUAACACAUGCAAGUCGAACGGUGAAGCGCCUUCCUUUUUGGUGGGUGUGGAUGAGUGGCGAACGGGUGAGUAACACGUGAGUAACCUGCCCCCUUCUUCUGGAUAACCGCAUGAAAGUGUGGCUAAUACGGGAUAUUCUGGGUCUGUCGCAUGAUGGGUCUGGGAAAGAUAUUGUUUCGGUGGGGGAUGGGCUCGCGGCCUAUCAGCUUGUUGGUGGGGUGAUGGCCUACCAAGGCGGUGACGGGUAGCCGGCCUGAGAGGGUGGACGGUCACACUGGGACUGAGACACGGCCCAGACUCCUACGGGAGGCAGCAGUGGGGAAUAGUGCACAAUGGGCGCAAGCCUGAUGCAGCGACGCCGCGUGAGGGAUGGAGGCCUUCGGGUUGUGAACCUCCUUCGCCAGUGAAGCAGGCCUGCCUCGUUUGUGGGUGGGUUGACGGUAGCUGGAGAAGAAGCGCCGGCUAACUACGUG